CAGCAGCCGCGGGAAUACGUAGGGCGCGAGCGUUAAUCGGAAUUACUGGGCGUAAAGCGUGCGCAGGCGGUUGUGUAAGACAGGUGUGAAAUCCCCGGGCUUAACCUGGGAACUGCGCUUGUGACUGCACAGCUAGAGUAUGGCAGAGGGGGGUGGAAUUCCACGUGUAGCAGUGAAAUGCGUAGAGAUGUGGAGGAACACCGAUGGCGAAGGCAGCCCCCUGGGCCAAUACUGACGCUCAUGCACGAAAGCGUGGGGAGCAAACAGGAUUAGAGACCCCUGUAGUCCCUGUCUCUUAUAC
RNAcentral lists this ribosomal RNA (301 nucleotides) under uncultured bacterium. RNAcentral describes it as "partial 16S ribosomal RNA". It matches the Rfam family "Bacterial small subunit ribosomal RNA", at positions 509 to 807 of the family's 1533-position model. The record is from RNAcentral.